GAGUUUGAUCAUGGCUCAGAUUGAACGCUGGCGGCAUGCCUUACACAUGCAAGUCGAACGGCAGCACGGGAGCUUGCUCCUGGUGGCGAGUGGCGAACGGGUGAGUAAUGCAUCGGAACGUAUCCUGGAGUGGGGGAUAACGUAGCGAAAGUUACGCUAAUACCGCAUAUUCUGUGAGCAGGAAAGCGGGGGACCUUCGGGCCUCGCGCUCUUGGAGCGGCCGAUGUCGGAUUAGCUAGUUGGUGAGGUAAAGGCUCACCAAGGCGACGAUCCGUAGCAGGUCUGAGAGGAUGAUCUGCCACACUGGAACUGAGACACGGUCCAGACUCCUACGGAGGCAGCAGUGGGGAAUUUUGGACAAUGGGGGCAACCCUGAUCCAGCCAUGCCGCGUGAGUG
Molecule: ribosomal RNA, 397 nt
Filed under: bacterium enrichment culture clone ALO1_GLFRUDD03F7918
Lineage: Bacteria
Description: bacterial SSU rRNA
Rfam family: Bacterial small subunit ribosomal RNA
Source: RNAcentral